Molecule: ribosomal RNA, 276 nt
Filed under: Staphylococcus aureus
Lineage: Bacteria; Bacillati; Bacillota; Bacilli; Caryophanales; Staphylococcaceae
Description: partial 16S ribosomal RNA
Rfam family: Bacterial small subunit ribosomal RNA
Source: RNAcentral
CGGUCUUGCUGUCACUUAUAGAUGGAUCCGCGCUGCAUUAGCUAGUUGGUAAGGUAACGGCUUACCAAGGCAACGAUGCAUAGCCGACCUGAGAGGGUGAUCGGCCACACUGGAACUGAGACACGGUCCAGACUCCUACGGGAGGCAGCAGUAGGGAAUCUUCCGCAAUGGGCGAAAGCCUGACGGAGCAACGCCGCGUGAGUGAUGAAGGUCUUCGGAUCGUAAAACUCUGUUAUUAGGGAAGAACAUAUGUGUAAGUAACUGUGCACAUCUUGA